Molecule: transfer RNA, 71 nt
Filed under: Eubacterium pyruvativorans
Lineage: Bacteria; Bacillati; Bacillota; Clostridia; Eubacteriales; Eubacteriaceae
Rfam family: tRNA
About the family: Transfer RNA (tRNA) molecules are approximately 80 nucleotides in length. Their secondary structure includes four short double-helical elements and three loops (D, anti-codon, and T loops).
Source: Rfam by way of RNAcentral
GCGGGUAUAUUUUAAUGGUAGAAAGCGGGCUUCCCAAGCCUGUAGUGAGGGUUCGAUUCCCUUUGCCCGCU